Long non-coding RNA from Amphiprion ocellaris (clown anemonefish), 742 nucleotides. Lineage: Eukaryota; Metazoa; Chordata; Actinopteri; Pomacentridae. The record is from Ensembl.
CUUUAUGCUGCUAAAACUCCUCUGACCCAGUGGUUCAUCAGAACCUCUGGGGUGUCCUGUGGAUUCUGUGGGUCCUGUGGGUUGCAGGGUGGGUCCUACCUAGACCAGGCUGAUCCUGGACCAUCCCACAGAUGCUCCAUCAGAUCUGGAUGUGGGGAGUGUGGAACCCAGAUGUUCAGAGGGAGAUGAUGCCACAUCUGGUCCAGCUGAUGGAAGGUCUUGAAGUUCUCUGACUGGCCUCGACUGAAGAUGGUCGUCUCACUGGAUUUAAGAUGCACAAUGAGGGACGUCUGCAGAGACUGAGAAAGAGUCUCACCACAUCCUGACAUGAGGAAAAAGACUUUAUUGAAGACUACAAUGAGAAAAACUAUCAGACAGCAGACGGCUGCAUUCAAGGCUACAGGAGGAGUCCUACGAGGACGAGCCGGUCCACCUGAUGGCGGCCAGUCGCUGCAGUUCAAAGCCAACACCGACUACGUGGACUUCUACUGGACCACACGGAGGCCUUCAAACUGGACCAACAAGUUCAGCGACUCCCCGACUCGUGGGUCUGAGGACGCUGCCGAGCCUCGGCUCAGCCGGCCUCCUGUCUGUGGGUGUUUGAGUGCUGAGAGGUUUGUGGAUGCAUGUGAACGUGUCUGUGUUGAAACAGCAGCUUUGGACUCACUAACGCUGGGAAAAACCAAGAGCUCCUUUAUUUGUGACUUCCACUAAAAAGCUGAAGAAAAUAAGUUUGCCAGGG